Molecule: non-coding RNA, 140 nt
Organism: Hordeum vulgare subsp. vulgare (domesticated barley)
Lineage: Eukaryota; Viridiplantae; Streptophyta; Magnoliopsida; Poales; Poaceae
Source: Rfam
CAAGUACUCCCUCCGUCCCAAAAUUCUUGUCUUAGGUUUGUCUUGAAAUGGAUGUAUCAAAAUACUAAAACGUGACUAGAUCGAUGCAUUCAUAUCUAAACAAAUCUAAGACNAGAAUUUUGGGACAGAGGGAGUAUAUA